AAACCGAACUGCUAAGUAGCGCCUGGACUGGCUUUUUUGCCGGUUGUCUACACACUCUCUCGGGUCCUGAUCAUCUUGCUGCCUUAGCUCCCUUAACCAUCGGUCGAACAAGAGUUGAAAGUGCUGUCGUUGGUGCCCUCUGGGGCUGUGGACACGAUGCAGGCCAAAUGAUAUUCGGACUGCUUUUCCUGCUGCUCAAGGAUCGGUUGCACAUUGAAGUCAUCCGUGUAUG
This 232-nucleotide unclassified non-coding RNA is filed under the name Hevea brasiliensis (rubber tree). The record is from RNAcentral. Lineage: Eukaryota; Viridiplantae; Streptophyta; Magnoliopsida; Malpighiales; Euphorbiaceae.